Molecule: ribosomal RNA, 847 nt
Filed under: uncultured bacterium
Lineage: Bacteria
Description: bacterial SSU rRNA
Rfam family: Bacterial small subunit ribosomal RNA
Source: RNAcentral
GAUAAACGCUGGCGGCGUGCCUAACACAUGCAAGUCGAACGCUCUCGCGGGCAACCGCGAGGGAGUGGCGGACGGGUGAGGAACACGUGGAUAUCUGCCUCCGGGUGGGGGAUACCACCGGGAAACCGGUGACAAGACCCCAUAGCCUUGGGUCACCAAGGAAAGCCCUUCCGCAAGGGAGGGCGCCGGGAGAUGAGUCUGCGUCCGAUUAGCUGGUCGGUGGGGUAAUGGCCUACCGAGGCGACGAUCGGUAGCUGGUCUGAGAGGACGAUCAGCCACACUGGGAUUGAGAACGGCCCAGACUCCUACGGGGGGCAGCAGUGAGGAAUUUUCCGCAAUGGACGCAAGUCUGACGGAGCAACGCCGCGUGCAGGAGGACGGCCUUCGGGUUGUAAACUGCUUUUCUCAGGGACGAGCAAGGACGGUACCUGAGGAAGAAGCCCCGGCUAACUACGUGCCAGCAGCCGCGGUAAUACGUAGGGGGCGAGCGUUGUCCGGAUUUAUUGGGCGUAAAGCGUCCGCAGGCGGUGCGACAAGUUCGAGGUGACAGUGCGCGGCUUCACUGCGCAAGGUCCUCGAAAACUGCCACACUUGAGGGCUUCAGAGGGACCUGGAAUUCCGGGUGGAGUGGUGAAAUGCGUAGAGAUCCGGAGGAACACCAAAGGCGCAGGCAGGGUCCUGGGAAGCCGCUGACGCUCAUGGACGAAAGCUAGGGGAGCGAACGGGAUUAGAUACCCCGGUAGUCCUAGCCGUAAACGAUGACCACUAGACGUGGGAGGUAUCGACCCCUUCCGUGUCGCCGCUAACGCAGUAAGUGGUCCGCCUGGGGAGUACGGUCGCAAGAUUA